AGAGUUGAUCAUGGCUCAGAACGAACGCUGGCGGCGCGUCUUAAGCAUGCGAGUCGGACGGCAAGGGGAGCUUGCUCCCCCUAGAGUGGCGGACUGGUGAGUAACGCGUGGGUGACCUACCCUUGAGAUGGGGAUAGCCAUUAGAAAUAGUGGAUAAUACCGAAUACGCUCUUUUUGCUGUGGCGAGAAGAGGAAACGGGCUACGGCCUGGCUCGAGGAUGGGCCCGCGUCCCAUUAGCUAGUUGGUGAGGUAACGGCCCACCAAGGCGACGAUGGGUAUCCGGCCUGAGAGGGUGUACGGACACAUUGGGACUGAGAUACGGCCCAAACUCCUACGGGAGGCAGCAGCUAAGAAUAUUCCGCAAUGGACGAAAGUCUGACGGAGCGACGCCGCGUGGAUGAAGAAGGCCCGAAAGGUUGUAAAAUCCUUUUGCUGAUGAAGAAUAAGUGGUGUAGGGAAUGACAUCAUGAUGACAUUAGUCGGUGAAUAAGCCCCGGCUAACUACGUGCCAGCCGCAGC
This 520-nucleotide ribosomal RNA is filed under the name uncultured bacterium. RNAcentral's name for it is "bacterial SSU rRNA". It matches the Rfam family "Bacterial small subunit ribosomal RNA", at positions 8 to 518 of the family's 1533-position model. The record is from RNAcentral.